GGGUUGUGAGGUUAAGCGACUAAGCGUACACGGUGGAUGCCCUGGCAGUCAGAGGCGAUGAAGGACGUGCUAAUCUGCGAAAAGCGCCGGCGAGGUGAUAUGAACCUUUGACCCGGCGAUGUCCGAAUGGGGAAACCCAGUGUGUUCCGACACACUAUCGUUAACUGAAUACAUAGGUUAACGAGGCGAACCGGGGGAACUGAAACAUCUAAGUACCCCGAGGAAAAGAAAUCAACCGAGAUUCCCCCAGUAGCGGCGAGCGAACGGGGAGCAGCCCAGAGUCUGAAUCAGCUUGUGUGUUAGUGGAAGCGUCUGGAAAGUCGCACGGUACAGGGUGACAGUCCCGUACACGAAAGCACACAGGCUGUGAACUCGAAGAGUAGGGCGGGACACGUGGUAUCCUGUCUGAAUAUGGGGGGACCAUCCUCCAAGGCUAAAUACUCCUGACUGACCGAUAGUGAACCAGUACCGUGAGGGAAAGGCGAAAAGAACCCCGGCGAGGGGAGUGAAAAAGAACCUGAAACCGUGUACGUACAAGCAGUGGGAGCCUCUUUAUGGGGUGACUGCGUACCUUUUGUAUAAUGGGUCAGCGACUUAUAUUCUGUAGCAAGGUUAACCGUAUAGGGGAGCCGAAGGGAAACCGAGUCUUAACUGGGCGUUAAGUUGCAGGGUAUAGACCCGAAACCCGGUGAUCUAGCCAUGGGCAGGUUGAAGGUUGGGUAACACUAACUGGAGGACCGAACCGACUAAUGUUGAAAAAUUAGCGGAUGACUUGUGGCUGGGGGUGAAAGGCCAAUCAAACCGGGAGAUAGCUGGUUCUCCCCGAAAGCUAUUUAGGUAGCGCCUCGUGAACUCAUCUUCGGGGGUAGAGCACUGUUUCGGCUAGGGGGCCAUCCCGGCUUACCAACCCGAUGCAAACUACGAAUACCGAAGAAUGUUAUCACGGGAGACACACGGCGGGUGCUAACGUCCGUCGUGAAGAGGGAAACAACCCAGACCGCCAGCUAAGGUCCCAAAGUCAUGGUUAAGUGGGAAACGAUGUGGGAAGGCACAGACAGCCAGGAUGUUGGCUUAGAAGCAGCCAUCAUUUAAAGAAAGCGUAAUAGCUCACUGGUCGAGUCGGCCUGCGCGGAAGAUGUAACGGGGCUAAACCAUGCACCGAAGCUGCGGCAGCGACACUAUGUGUUGUUGGGUAGGGGAGCGUUCUGUAAGCCGUUGAAGGUGUCCUGUGAGGGGUGCUGGAGGUAUCAGAAGUGCGAAUGCUGACAUAAGUAACGAUAAAGCGGGUGAAAAGCCCGCUCGCCGGAAGACCAAGGGUUCCUGUCCAACGUUAAUCGGGGCAGGGUGAGUCGACCCCUAAGGCGAGGCCGAAAGGCGUAGUCGAUGGGAAACAGGUUAAUAUUCCUGUACUUGGUGUUACUGCGAAGGGGGGACGGAGAAGGCUAUGUUAGCCGGGCGACGGUUGUCCCGGUUUAAGCAUGUAGGCGGAGGUUCCAGGUAAAUCCGGUUCCUUGUUAACGCUGAGGUGUGAUGACGAGGCACUACGGUGCUGAAGUAACAAAUGCCCUGCUUCCAGGAAAAGCCUCUAAGCAUCAGGUAACAUCAAAUCGUACCCCAAACCGACACAGGUGGUCAGGUAGAGAAUACCAAGGCGCUUGAGAGAACUCGGGUGAAGGAACUAGGCAAAAUGGUGCCGUAACUUCGGGAGAAGGCACGCUGAUAUGUAGGUGAAGCCCCUGCGGGUGGAGCUGAAAUCAGUCGAAGAUACCAGCUGGCUGCAACUGUUUAUUAAAAACACAGCACUGUGCAAACACGAAAGUGGACGUAUACGGUGUGACGCCUGCCCGGUGCCGGAAGGUUAAUUGAUGGGGUUAGCGGUAACGCGAAGCUCUUGAUCGAAGCCCCGGUAAACGGCGGCCGUAACUAUAACGGUCCUAAGGUAGCGAAAUUCCUUGUCGGGUAAGUUCCGACCUGCACGAAUGGCGUAAUGAUGGCCAGGCUGUCUCCACCCGAGACUCAGUGAAAUUGAACUCGCUGUGAAGAUGCAGUGUACCCGCGGCAAGACGGAAAGACCCCGUGAACCUUUACUAUAGCUUGACACUGAACACUGGUCCUUGAUGUGUAGGAUAGGUGGGAGGCUUUGAAGCGUGGACGCCAGUCUGCGUGGAGCCAACCUUGAAAUACCACCCUUUAAUGGCUGGUGUUCUAACGUAGACCCGUAAUCCGGGUUGCGGACAGUGUCUGGUGGGUAGUUUGACUGGGGCGGUCUCCUCCCAAAGAGUAACGGAGGAGCACGAAGGUUAGCUAAUCCUGGUCGGACAUCAGGAGGUUAGUGCAAUGGCAUAAGCUAGCUUGACUGCGAGAGUGACGGCUCGAGCAGGUGCGAAAGCAGGUCAUAGUGAUCCGGUGGUUCUGAAUGGAAGGGCCAUCGCUCAACGGAUAAAAGGUACUCCGGGGAUAACAGGCUGAUACCGCCCAAGAGUUCAUAUCGACGGCGGUGUUUGGCACCUCGAUGUCGGCUCAUCACAUCCUGGGGCUGAAGUAGGUCCCAAGGGUAUGGCUGUUCGCCAUUUAAAGUGGUACGCGAGCUGGGUUUAGAACGUCGUGAGACAGUUCGGUCCCUAUCUGCCGUGGGCGCUGGAGAAUUGAGGGGGGCUGCUCCUAGUACGAGAGGACCGGAGUGGACGCAUCACUGGUGUUCGGGUUGUCAUGCCAAUGGCACUGCCCGGUAGCUAAAUGCGGAAGAGAUAAGUGCUGAAAGCAUCUAAGCACGAAACUUGCCCCGAGAUGAGUUCUCCCUGAGACUUUAAGUCUCCUGAAGGAACGUUGAAGACUACGACGUUGAUAGGUCGGGUGUGUAAGCGCAGCGAUGCGUUGAGCUAACCGAUACUAAUGAACCGUGAGGCUUAACCUUACAACGCCGAAG
This 2926-nucleotide ribosomal RNA is filed under the name Enterobacter ludwigii. Its description in RNAcentral is "23S ribosomal RNA". It matches the Rfam family "Bacterial large subunit ribosomal RNA". The record is from RNAcentral. Lineage: Bacteria; Pseudomonadati; Pseudomonadota; Gammaproteobacteria; Enterobacterales; Enterobacteriaceae. RNAcentral also lists the same sequence under 1 other name.